Molecule: unclassified non-coding RNA, 148 nt
Organism: Macaca fascicularis (crab-eating macaque)
Lineage: Eukaryota; Metazoa; Chordata; Mammalia; Primates; Cercopithecidae
Rfam family: Metazoan signal recognition particle RNA
About the family: The signal recognition particle (SRP) is a universally conserved ribonucleoprotein. It is involved in the co-translational targeting of proteins to membranes.
Source: Ensembl
GCUGGGCGUGGUGGUGUGUGCCUGUAGUCCCAGCUACUUGGGAGGCUGAGGCAGGAGGAUUGCUUGAGCCCAGGAGAUUGAGGCUGCAGUGAGCCAUGAUAGUGCCACUACACUCCAACUUGGGCAACAGAGCAAGACCCUAUCUCUA